RNAcentral lists this ribosomal RNA (468 nucleotides) under uncultured bacterium. RNAcentral describes it as "partial 16S ribosomal RNA". It matches the Rfam family "Bacterial small subunit ribosomal RNA", at positions 28 to 507 of the family's 1533-position model. The record is from RNAcentral.
GACGAACGCUGGCGGCGUGCUUAACACAUGCAAGUCGAACGGAAAGGCCCUGCUUUUGUGGGGUGCUCGAGUGGCGAACGGGUGAGUAACACGUGAGUAACCUGCCCUUGACUUUGGGAUAACUUCAGGAAACUGGGGCUAAUACCGGAUAGGAGCUCCUGCUGCAUGGUGGGGGUUGGAAAGUUUCGGCGGUUGGGGAUGGACUCGCGGCUUAUCAGCUUGUUGGUGGGGUAGUGGCUUACCAAGGCUUUGACGGGUAGCCGGCCUGAGAGGGUGACCGGCCACAUUGGGACUGAGAUACGGCCCAGAAUCCUACGGGAGGCAGCAGUGGGGAAUAUUGCACAAUGGGAGGAAGCCUGAGGCGGCAACGCCGCGUGCGGGAUGACGGCCUUCGGGUUGUAAACCGCUUUCGCCUGUGGCGAAGCGUGAGUGACGGUAAUGGGUAAAGAAGCACCGGCUAAGUACGUG